This 513-nucleotide unclassified non-coding RNA is filed under the name Hevea brasiliensis (rubber tree). Lineage: Eukaryota; Viridiplantae; Streptophyta; Magnoliopsida; Malpighiales; Euphorbiaceae. The record is from RNAcentral.
GUUGGUUGUGCCAGCUCCGAAGCUAAAAGUCCCAAAAGGCAUUAUUAGAUGCUAUUUUAGCCAAGGUAAUAUGACAUAUUCCAUAAAAAUAAUCCCUAGAUCCUAAACAAAUAAAAUUGACCAAAUCUUUGAAGUUCUCUUUGAUGUGAGAUUCACCAAAAUGGCAUGGCAAUUGCAUUAAAUUGGGUUGAGUUUGGAUUGGUGUGCUAUGAAAUGAAGGGAUGUGUAUCUAAAUGAGAUUGACACAAUGGAUUUUCUUUACUUGGGUCGACUCAUGGAUGAACAUUGGAUUCACGAAUGUGAACGCAAACUGUAAGAACGAAAUUGGAAUAUAUGCUAAAAUAAGGCGACAGACAAUAUUUGGACAAGGAAUGUUCCCGUCCUCCACCUUUACAAGUCUGGAUCUCUAUCCAUCAAUAUAAAAUUAAAAUUCAAAUCCUUGAAUUUCGAAAUCCCAUUCAAAACACAACAUUAGUAAACCAAAAAUUUUCUCCUUCUACAAUUGACAAUGGC